Oncorhynchus tshawytscha (Chinook salmon) is the source of this 82-nucleotide non-coding RNA. Lineage: Eukaryota; Metazoa; Chordata; Actinopteri; Salmoniformes; Salmonidae. The record is from the annotation of a RefSeq genome assembly.
GCUGCGAUGGCCGAGUGGUUAAGGCGUUGACCUCGAAAUCCAUUGGGUUCGCCCAGUGCAGGUUUGAACCCUGCUCGCAGCU